This 460-nucleotide ribosomal RNA is filed under the name uncultured bacterium. Its description in RNAcentral is "partial 16S ribosomal RNA". It matches the Rfam family "Bacterial small subunit ribosomal RNA", at positions 338 to 795 of the family's 1533-position model. The record is from RNAcentral.
CCUACGGGAGGCAGCAGUGAGGAAUAUUGGUCAAUGGGCGCGAGCCUGAACCAGCCAAGUAGCGUGAAGGAUGACUGCCCUACGGGUUUUAAACUUCUUUUAUAAAGGAAUAGAGUGAGGCACGUGUGCCUUUUUGUAUGUACUUUAUGAAUAAGGAUAGGCUAACUCCGUGCCAGCAGCCGCGGUAAUACGGAGGAUCCGAGCGUUAUCCGGAUUUAGUGGGUUUAAAGGGAGCGUAGAUGGGUUGUUAAGUCAGUUGUGAAAGUUUGCGGCUCAACCGUAAAAUUGCAAUUGAUAUUGGCAGCCUAGAGUACAGUAGAGGUAGGCGGAAUUCGUGGUGUAGCGGUGAAAUGCGUAGAGAUCACGAAGAACUCCGAUUGCGAAGGCAGCCUACUAAACUGCCACUGACAUUGAUGCUCGAAAGUGUGGGUAUCAAACAGUAUUAGAUACCCUAGUAGUC